Molecule: transfer RNA, 56 nt
Filed under: Araneae sp. MT-2014
Lineage: Eukaryota; Metazoa; Arthropoda; Arachnida; Araneae
Description: tRNA-Ile
Source: RNAcentral
AAUUAUGUGCCUGAUUAAAGGGUUAAUUUGAUAGAUUAAAUAAUGGUUAAUGGUUU